GACGAACGCUGGCGGCGUGCUUAACACAUGCAAGUCGAACGGUAAGGCCCUUCGGGGUACACGAGUGGCGAACGGGUGAGUAACACGUGGGUGAUCUGCCCUGCACUUCGGGAUAAGCCUGGGAAACUGGGUCUAAUACCGGAUAGGACUCCUGGCUUCAUGGUUGGGGGUGGAAAGCUUUUGCGGUGUGGGAUGGUGCCUGCGGCCUAUCAGCUUGUUGGUGGGGUAAUGGCCUACCAAGGCGACGACGGGUAGCCGGCCUGAGAGGGUGACCGGUCACACUGGGACUGGGAUACGGCCCAGACUCCUACGGGAGGCAGCAGUGGGGAAUAUUGCACAAUGGGCGCAAGCCUGAUGCAGCGACGCCGCGUGAGGGAUGACGGCCUUCGGGUUGUAAACCUCUUUCAGCACCGACGAAGCGCAAGUGACGGUAGGUGCAGAAGAAGGACCGGCCAACUACGUGCCAGCCGCCGCCGUAA
Molecule: ribosomal RNA, 479 nt
Filed under: uncultured bacterium
Lineage: Bacteria
Description: partial 16S ribosomal RNA
Rfam family: Bacterial small subunit ribosomal RNA
Source: RNAcentral